Molecule: non-coding RNA, 271 nt
Organism: Zonotrichia albicollis (white-throated sparrow)
Lineage: Eukaryota; Metazoa; Chordata; Aves; Passeriformes; Passerellidae
Source: RefSeq, a predicted model, not a curated record
GCCUGCUUGUUCUCCUAUCACUUGUUCCAUAUAGAGGAAAGGAUUAUUAUUUCCUCUUACAGUCUGGGAGGGAAGCAUGGAGAGAUGGCUCCCAUUUCCUGGCAGUGACCUAUGGUGUCACAGCUCCCAUGGAGCAGAAUGCAUUACUGGAGAGACAGAAGAUUGGACCCUGUUGUUUCAACAUUCCAACUCGGGCAGACGUAGGAGUGUUUCUGCAGAAACAUCUUUGUCAAGGACUCCAAAGAGGAGAGGGGGCACCGAGGUGAAGAAG